Molecule: unclassified non-coding RNA, 297 nt
Filed under: uncultured fungus
Lineage: Eukaryota; Fungi
Description: partial contains small subunit ribosomal RNA, internal transcribed spacer 1, and 5.8S ribosomal RNA
Rfam family: Eukaryotic small subunit ribosomal RNA (bases 1-73)
Source: RNAcentral
GCAAACUUGGUCAUUUAGAGGAAGUAAAAGUCGUAACAAGGUUUCCGUAGGUGAACCUGCGGAAGGAUCAUUAAAGAAUUGACGAGGUUUUGAUGCCGGCAGUCUGACUGUUCUGUGCUCGCCUCACUAAUCCUUUUCCAUACACCUGUGAACAUGUGCAAGUAGGGGAAGCAAUUUCCUUACUUGUUUUACAUAUACACUCUUGAUAAUAUUGAAUAUAUCGAAUCGAAAGAUUCAUAAUCUUAAACAACUUUUAACAACGGAUCUCUUGGUUCUCGCAUCGAUGAAGAACGCAGC